CGCUAACAGGAGAGCUGAGCACUCGUGGCGAGACUGCCGCCGACAAGGCGGAGGAAGGUGGGACGACGUCAAGUCAUCAUGGCCUUUAUGCCCAGGGCUACACACGUGCUACAAUGGCCGGCACAGACGGCAGCUUAGUGGCGACACUUGGCAAAUCCUCUAAAAGCCGGUCCCAAGUUCGGAUUGUAGUCUGCAACUCGACUACAUGAAGCCGGAAUCGCUAGUAAUCGCAGAUCAGCCAAGCUGCGGUGAAUACGUUCCCGGGCCUUU
This 270-nucleotide ribosomal RNA is filed under the name uncultured Synergistaceae bacterium. RNAcentral's name for it is "partial 16S ribosomal RNA". It matches the Rfam family "Bacterial small subunit ribosomal RNA", at positions 1116 to 1382 of the family's 1533-position model. The record is from RNAcentral. Lineage: Bacteria; Thermotogati; Synergistota; Synergistia; Synergistales; Synergistaceae.